This 598-nucleotide unclassified non-coding RNA is filed under the name Evansstolkia leycettana. RNAcentral describes it as "sequence contains 18S rRNA gene, ITS1, 5.8S rRNA gene, ITS2, 28S rRNA gene". The stretch from base 222 to 375 matches the Rfam family "5.8S ribosomal RNA". Lineage: Eukaryota; Fungi; Ascomycota; Eurotiomycetes; Eurotiales; Aspergillaceae. The record is from RNAcentral.
GUAACAAGGUUUCCGUAGGUGAACCUGCGGAAGGAUCAUUACCGAGUGCGGGCCCGCUGGGUCCAACCUCCCACCCGUGUCUACCGUACCUUGUUGCUUCGGCGGGCCCGCCCGUCUGGGCCGCCGGGGGGCCGUCGUGCCCCCGGGCCCGCGCCCGCCGAAGACCCCCAGGAACGCUGUUCUGAAGGUUGCCGUCUGAGUCGAUAGAUGCAAUCGGUUAAAACUUUCAACAACGGAUCUCUUGGUUCCGGCAUCGAUGAAGAACGCAGCGAAAUGCGAUAAGUAAUGUGAAUUGCAGAAUUCAGUGAAUCAUCGAGUCUUUGAACGCACAUUGCGCCCCCUGGUAUUCCGGGGGGCAUGCCUGUCCGAGCGUCAUUGCUGCCCUCAAGCCCGGCUUGUGUGUUGGGCCGCCGUCCCGCUCCCCGUGCCCGGGGGGGACGGGCCCGAAAGGCAGCGGCGGCACCGCGUCCGGUCCUCGAGCGUAUGGGGCUUCGUCACCCGCUCUGGAGGCCGGGCCGGCGUGCUGGCCGAUCGACCGUCUUCCUUCUCCAGGUUGACCUCGGAUCAGGUAGGGAUACCCGCUGAACCUAAGCAUAUC